Molecule: ribosomal RNA, 496 nt
Filed under: uncultured bacterium
Lineage: Bacteria
Description: partial 16S ribosomal RNA
Rfam family: Bacterial small subunit ribosomal RNA
Source: RNAcentral
GAUGAACGCUGGCGGCGUGCCUAAUACAUGCAAGUCGAGCGAACAGAUGAGGAGCUUGCUCCUCUGACGUUAGCGGCGGACGGGUGAGUAACACGUGGAUAACCUACCUAUAAGACUGGGAUAACUUCGGGAAACCGGAGCUAAUUCCGGAUAAUAUAUUGAACCGCAUGGUUCAAUAGUGAAAGACGGUUUUGCUGUCACUUGUAGAUGGAUCCGCGCCGCAUUAGCUAGUUGGUAAGGUAAAGGCUUACCAAGGCAACGAUGCGUAGCCGACCUGAGAGGGUGAUCGGCCACACUGGAACUGAGACACGGUCCAGAAUCCUACGGGAGGCAGCAGUAGGGAAUCUUCCGCAAUGGGCGAAAGCCUGACGGAGCAACGCCGCGUGAGUGAUGAAGGUCUUCGGAUCGUAAAACUCUGUUAUUAGGGAAGAACAAAUGUGUAAGUAACUAUGCACGUCUUGACGGUACCUAAGCAGAAAGCCACGGCUAACUACGU